GUACAACUGGUUCAAUUAUGUUAUACUGGUCCAACUAAUUAUACUGGUAUUACUAGUUAUACUAAUUUUUAUUAGUUAUACUUAUGUUGUUGUACUGAGUUCACUUAUGUAGUUGUACUGAGUUAUACUAGUAAUACUUAUUUAGUUGUGAUAUUAGUAAUACUUAUAUAGUUGUACCGAGUUUUACUAGUAGUACUUACGUAGUUGUACUGAAUUCUACUGAAUAAGUUAUAAUUAGUUGUAUCGAUACAAUUCUACCAAAUUAUACGAGUUCUACUGAAUCCAGAUCCACAGAUAAAAUCAAAGAAACGCACAACAAAAUACAAAAAUUAUAGAUCCAUAACUUCCAUAGAAUAAGAAACAGACUUAAAUAUCUAGAAAAAUACAAAAUCGAAGAAAAACAAAAAGAACCCUAAAUCAAAGAAAACCCAGAUUCUUCAUAAACAUUGUUUUUGUUUCGUUGCCGCCUUAAGAACCCUAAUUCGAAAAAUCAUAGAUCUAAAAAUCUCAAGCAAAGCUUCCAUUUUAGUUUCCGUCGUCUUCUCUACCUUUUUUUCAGGUUGAAUCGCGGUGGUUUGUGGCAGAGAAAUAGAGAAAGAAGAGAGGAAAGUUACGGAGAAAGAAAGUGAAACACUGCUUUCCAGAGAGAAAAAUAAAAGUGAGGAAGAGAGAAAGAAGAAUCUGAAAAAUAAAAGUCGGAGGAAGAGAGAAGGAAGAAUCUGUUUUGGUAUAUUAUUAGAGUUAAAAACAUUUACGUACUUUAGUUAUUUUCUGAAUUAAAAAUAAAUCAAAACAAAAUUAAUAAUAUAACAAGGAGUU
RNAcentral lists this long non-coding RNA (819 nucleotides) under Brassica napus (rape). RNAcentral's name for it is "long non-coding RNA (BNAP_LNC009467)". Lineage: Eukaryota; Viridiplantae; Streptophyta; Magnoliopsida; Brassicales; Brassicaceae. The record is from RNAcentral.